This 499-nucleotide long non-coding RNA is filed under the name Phoenix dactylifera (date palm). Its description in RNAcentral is "long non-coding RNA (PDAC_LNC022815)". Lineage: Eukaryota; Viridiplantae; Streptophyta; Magnoliopsida; Arecales; Arecaceae. The record is from RNAcentral.
AACGCACCAACCACCAAGCCAUACUCCCUUGUUAACAUAUAUGUAUAACAUAUAUAUAUUUUAAGUAUGAAAACUUUUAAUCAUUAAUUUAAUAAAAAUCUAACAUUCCCCACCUGAUUAAAAUGUUUUCAAAACUUUAUAAAAUCAAAAAAUAGUCAAACCGGGCUUGUUUAUGUCACGACUUCAAUAAAGGUAGCUUGCGGCUUUGAACCUUUACCUAGUGAAAGUAUAUUUUCAUCUGAAAGGUAUAGUGGUAGCUAAAAAGCUUUGAACCAAAUCCUUUGGUUCAGAUUUCUAUAUACUUCACCCAUGACAAAUGCAAAUACUGGGUUCAUCAUAGGUGGUGCUUUUUCUGGCCUUAUGCACCAAUAUCUCAGUUUCAUGAGUGCUCUAGGGGUUAAACCCUUAUCCCCAUAGACUGCGGCCACACAGUCACACUCACAUAGGUGAGUCCUCCAAGGGUGCUCGCAGCACAGCACCUUGCCAUAGACUCGGACUC